This 328-nucleotide long non-coding RNA is filed under the name Solanum lycopersicum (tomato). RNAcentral describes it as "long non-coding RNA (SLYC_LNC000591)". Lineage: Eukaryota; Viridiplantae; Streptophyta; Magnoliopsida; Solanales; Solanaceae. The record is from RNAcentral.
CAUCAGCCUUAUGGGCCAGCAGUAGGAUAUCCUCCGGCCUAUGGGGCACCUUAUGGUCAACCACUGCCUCCUCAUCAAGGUUAUCCAGCAUCAGCACCGCCACUACCAUCAUCUCAACCUCCUGGCUUCCCACCGCCCUCAGACUCAGCUUAUCCUCCUCCUGGUCCCGGAGGUUAUCCACCACCCUCGGCCUCAGGUUAUCCUCCUCCCGCACCUUAUCCACCACAACAACAACCUGGUUUCUGGAGGUGAUGAUUUUGAAGAUUUAUAUUUAUGUCGUUUCACAUUAAAUGAAGCGCAAAAUGAGGAACACAAAUUGAAUGGCAAC